AGCUAGUUGGUGGGGUAAAGGCCUACCAAGGCGACGAUCCGUAACUGGUCUGAGAGGAUGAUCAGUCACACUGGAACUGAGACACGGUCCAGACUCCUACGGGAGGCAGCAGUGGGGAAUAUUGGACAAUGGGCGAAAGCCUGAUCCAGCCAUGCCGCGUGUGUGAAGAAGGUCUUCGGAUUGUAAAGCACUUUAAGUUGGGAGGAAGGGCAGUAAGUUAAUACCUUGCUGUUUUGACGUUACCAACAGAAUAAGCACCGGCUAACUUCGUGCCAGCAGCCGCGGUAAUACGAAGGGUGCAAGCGUUAAUCGGAAUUACUGGGCGUAAAGUGCGCGUAGGUGGUUUGGUAAGAUGGAUGUGAAAUCCCCGGGCUCAACCUGGGAACUGCAUCCAUAACUGCCUGACUAGAGUACGGUAGAGGGUGGUGUUUUUUCCUGUGUAGCGGUGAAAUGCGUAGAUAUAGGAAGGAACACCAGUG
RNAcentral lists this ribosomal RNA (479 nucleotides) under uncultured Pseudomonas sp. RNAcentral describes it as "bacterial SSU rRNA". It matches the Rfam family "Bacterial small subunit ribosomal RNA", at positions 243 to 714 of the family's 1533-position model. The record is from RNAcentral. Lineage: Bacteria; Pseudomonadati; Pseudomonadota; Gammaproteobacteria; Pseudomonadales; Pseudomonadaceae.